Paramisgurnus dabryanus is the source of this 1020-nucleotide non-coding RNA. The record is from RefSeq and is a predicted model, not a curated record. Lineage: Eukaryota; Metazoa; Chordata; Actinopteri; Cypriniformes; Cobitidae.
GUCAUUAUAGAUGCUAGUUUGGUGAAAGUUCACACUGAGUGCUUCAAAUCAUUCAGAAGAGAUGCUGUUUUUAGGGCAGUUUAUUAAAGAAGACCUGACAUGGAUGACUUCCAAUGAGAAACGACUGCUAAUACUUAUAUAAAUUCAUUACAGAAGGACCCUACCAGACUAUAUUUGAAUACGGCAUACCCAUGAAUUCUGGAACUGUUAUUCCUUAACCCAGUUUGGAGGAUAAGAGCUUACCAACUAGUUAUAAAUAUGCUGAGGUGAUGUAUUGCAAAAUAGCCAACAUACAACAAUAUGGAUGACCCUCUGUCUGGUCAACAGGAGUUUAAAUAUGGACGGGACAGUGAUGUGGCAGCUCUUCCCUGGCUCAUUCACCUCUUGCCUUUUAUUUGUGAAAGGAAGAAAGAAGAAAGAGGGUCAAUGUGCAACUGAAGCUACUGAUUGUGCUGUGUGAUGAGCAUCAAUCCAUGCUUUGAGGGGAAUGAAUCAGCACAGCCCUGCCUGCACUGCGUUGGGAACAAAAGUUGCAUCCAGAAUUUUUGCAUCAUUCUGGACCAAAAAGCCAUUCCCUCCAUGAUGAAGACCACUGAUGCAGCCUUCCACUACAUCAUGAGUAAAACAACUACAGAACUAAAUACCAGGUUGGAACGUAUUUAAGAAAAAUGAAACGUCUUUUGAAUUGAAAUGUCUGUUUUGUUAUGGAAAAAUCUUUAGUAUUGUGAAGGAUAAGCAUUUCUGCCUGCCAGUAAGGUAAUUGCAGUGUAUUUUAAUGUUCAAGUUUUGAGUAGGGUGGCUAAUUUUUUUUAAACUCUCAUUUGAUAUAUUAAAGACCUUAUAAUAAGUGGUUUUCAUGUCACUGCGCUGUGGUAUAAGAUAACUUUCAUUAUUCCAUACUGUAUUCUGUUUCUAAUUGUAGCUGAGGUAUUUAAAUAAGCAGUGUUAAAUGCAAAGUGUUGUGUGUAUCAAUGUAAAUAUUAAAUGUGAUGUACUUUAAUAAAAAGAGGUUUUGCAAUA